CUACCGCGGCGAGGCGGCCACGGUCUGGUCCCUGGGCAUCCUGCUCUACCAGAUGGUCUGCGGGAAGCACCCGUUCUGCAGAGGCACCAACACCAUCUGGGACCAGCUCCCGUUCCCACCACGGGUCUCUCGAGGGUGCCAGCACCUUAUCAGGUGGUGUUUGUCCAUCCACCCCUCGGACAGGCCAUCAUUGGAAGACCUAUUGUGCCAUCCUUGGGUGCAGGGCAUUUGCCUGCUCUAGAAGACAGGAGAGAUCCACGUGCUCACUUUGAUCCAGGGGCCUGACAGCUGGGCCCUCGGCAGAACACUGACAGCCUGGUCUGGCCCCCAGGGAAGGAGAAGGGGCCUCUGGAGAAGCUGUGCCGGGUGGGGCUGCUGCUGGAGACAUCGAGGACGACGUCAGGGAUGACAAGCUCUUUGUUGUUGACCUGGACACUGGCGAGCUGAAGAUGAUGGACUUUGAUUCUGGCCCCUUCCUCCAAGCCGUGCUCCACACGCCGUUUGCAGAUGAGUCCACACCCAGGGGGUGCUCCCGGGCAUUGCUCAGCCUGGCUGGGCACCAAAGGUUCCCCCUUUGCUGGCGGGGAACCCGAUGAAUUCUUCAGCCGGCUGCCAAGCUGCUUCUUGGCAGGAGGGCGGGCUGGGCUCUGGGCUGGGUGUGAAAUGGGAGCCCGGCUCUGCCCCCAGCCUCUGCCACUGCCCCUUUGCUGGGCGGGGCUGGGGCAGGGGCAGCCAGCCUGCCAAAAACAAACCCCCGUGGGGGGAGCAAAGGUGGGGCUGCAGAACACCAGCUGCUUUGGUCUGCAGGCCAGGAAAGGCUUGGGCUGCCUUGGCUUAGGAGCCUUUUCUUGGGCCAGUGCAGCAGGGCAGGGAGAAGGCCUGGGUUUUCCUUACCUGGAGGAGGAGCUUUCCUUUGGUGUGGAGGGGUUGGGCCUUCCUCAGAACCCUGACAGAAUGUUAACAUUUUACCUUUUUUUCUUGUUUCCACUUUUGGUUUGUAAUCUCUUGUCAUGAAUUUGUUGUUUGUUUUCCAGGGAAGAGUUGGAGCUGGUGCCCAGUCCGGAUUGGGAAGGGCUGGGAUCAUCCCUGGAGAGGAUCUGACGUCCCCUCUGAGAAGGCUGAGGACAUCCUUUGGGACACGCUCUUCUUGCGGCAGCAGAUCUUGUGAGACAGGACACCUCUGCCUGAUCUCCCACAGAUUUGAGGGAUCACUGGAUCUUCAUGCCAGCACCAGGACUUUGCUGCAGAA
This is a long non-coding RNA of Pseudopipra pipra, 1249 nucleotides long. RefSeq lists it as uncharacterized. The transcript is spliced from 4 exons. NCBI's taxonomy places the organism in Eukaryota, Metazoa, Chordata, Aves, Passeriformes, Pipridae. The record is from RefSeq and is a predicted model, not a curated record.